Molecule: long non-coding RNA, 33243 nt
Filed under: Gossypium barbadense (sea-island cotton)
Lineage: Eukaryota; Viridiplantae; Streptophyta; Magnoliopsida; Malvales; Malvaceae
Description: long non-coding RNA (GBAR_LNC021840)
Source: RNAcentral
AGCGGAGAGGAGGGCAAGCAGGGGGACUUAUUUCUUCUUUAGCUAAAUUAAAACAUUAAAUUUUAGUCUUUUUAGUUUUUUAUUAAAUAGAAUAAUUGCAUUUUUGGCCCUAUGAAAAGUUAAUAAUUUAAUCUAAGUUUUUUUUAUAAUACACAACUUUAGCCCGGGCCCAUGCAGAUUAAAUAAACAAAAAAAUAAAACCAAAUAAAAUAAAAUUCAGUCCAUUGUCCAUUUACACCCAAAAUAAACCCAAGAUCUUAGCCCAAUUACAUAAAUAAUUAAAACCCAAAUAACCUAAACCCUAGCCCAACAAGCAGCCCAAUACACCCAACAUUUUCAGCAGAGAGAAAAACAAAAAACCCUAGGUAGCCGCAAGCCUAACAGCAACCAAGUGCGCUGUCGUCGCCGCCAUUUACGCGCCACACCUCCACGUUGACUGGCCACGUACCUGCAAUUCAGCAAACAAGGAAGCAAGCAGCAAAAAGAAAGGGACUAAUAGCGAAAUGGAAGGAAAGAAAUAUUAUUAUUAUUUUUUAUAUAUCUAUUUUCCUUUUCGUUUUGGCUAUAAAAAGCCAAUUAAAAUCUAUAAUAGGGGGAAGACGCACAUAUUGUUUUAAGAAAUUACAAAAAGAAAAUGAAAAGGAAAGACUGAGUUUUUUUGUUGGAGGUGAUUUUUUAAAAGUUUUUCUUUUUUUUUCUGUUGUUCUGUUCUUUUUUUAUAUAAGUAUGAAACAAAAUAAAAAGGAGGGUGAUUUAGUUUCUUUUUCAUGUUUUCUUCUUUCUAUUUCGAUCUCUAUUUCAUGUCUUUGAAAUAAUAGUAAAAGAGGGGAGGAGUUGUUUACCUUUUGAUCGGCGGCGUCGUUGUGCUGUGUGGGAGAUGUUUGUAAACGGCGCAGAGAAAGGAAAGGAGCUAUUAAGUUUUUUCUCCUUUGCUUUCUAAUGGCCGAAUGAUUAGGGUUUUUUUAGAUUUAUGAUAAUUUUUGAAACAACACUGUUUGGACUUUAUGCCAAGGCUCAAUGGCUUAUUUUCACUUUUGGUCUUCCUGUUUUACAAUGUUUUUAAAUUACUUUUUUUAUUUCUUGUAAAUUUCGCAACGCAUUUUAUUAUUGUUUCAAUUUAGUCCAAUACUGUGCAGUGUUUUGGGAGGCUUGGGUAAAUUGCUCCUUCGUUCCUCCUCCUGUUGCGCGUGUUUUAAAUUGCUCUCUUUCUUGUUUUAUUUUUGAAUUCAUCCUUUAAAUUCUGUUUGUUUUCAACUUAAUCCUUAAUUUGUUAUUUUAAGUUUUUUUUUAUUAUAUUAUUAAUACUGUUUAUUAGUAUUAUUAUUACUAUAUUAUUAUUAGUUUUUUUAUUUAUUAUAUCAUAUAUUAUUAUACCUACAUAUAUAUAUAUGUGCAUAUGUAUGUUAAUAUAUAUAUGUUUAUUUUAAACGUUUUUAAAUACAUAUGCAUAUUAUGUAUAUAUUUUAUUAUUAUUUUAUUUUCAUAGUUUUUAUAUAUUUUAUAUACAUUUAUAUUUUAUAAUAUUUAUAUUUUCAUAUUUUAUAAUUUAUAUAUGUUUAUACAUUCUUUGUAAUAUAUAUAUGUACUUUUUAGAAUUAUCAUAAGUUUUUUGUUAUUAUUUUGUUUUGAUAUAUUUCAUGUUUUUAUAUAUGUAUACUUAUAUAUAUGCCUGUUUUAAUAUAUGCAUAUACAUGUUUUCAAAAUUUAUUUAUGUAUUAUACUUAUAUUUUGAAAAUACAUAUGUACAUAUAAUUUAAAUUAAAGUAUUUGUUACAUAUCGUAUUAACAUUUUUUUAACAUAUCUUUUAGAAAAUACAUAUUUUGGUUUUGGUAAAACAUUAAAAACAUUUUCUUUUGAUUCAAAGACUUUUAAAAUAAAAGCGAAAUUCAAAGUUCGGAAUUUUCGAGGAAAUUGAGCCCUAACGUAUUGGGUUCCGAUUUUUUUUGUUAAUCCUAAAUAACCGAGAAUAUUCUUUAUUUUACAUAAGUAUAAAAUCAUUUUCGGGAACUUAACUUAUUGCGUCCUAAUGUAUUGGGUGUAACAUAUUGCGUUCUCGAAAUGAAGAUUUUCUUAUAAAAUAAAAGCGAUAUUCAAAGUUCGGGGAUUUUGAGACAUUGUACCCUUCUUCGCAUGACUUGAACAUUUGAUUAUCCUUUUCAGAUUUCAUUAUUGGAGUUUUUUUUUUUAAAUCUUUUUAACCCUCGACACUAAGACGUUAAAUAAUUAAUUUGGUACCGAUUUUUGGACAUUACGAGGGUGCUAACCCUUCCUCGUGCGUAACUGACUUCCGAACUCGUUUUCUCAAAUUUCAUAGACCAGAAUAAUUUUUAAGGUGAGUCGAUCACACCUCAAUAAAGGAUCGGUGGCGGCUCUAAUUUUUGUUUUUUAAAGUCGAUAACUAAAGUUUUGUUUUCAAAAAAUAGUUUCAACAGCUUGACGACUCCGUUGGGGAAAAACACGAGAGUCGAGCCAAAAAUUGAUUAAUUUUUGUCUUAAUGUCGAAACUUUUUUGAGAUCCUUUUGCAUUCAUUAUUUUCUUGCUUAAUUGAUCUUUGCAUUAUACAUUGCAUGAGUUGAAUGAUUUUACCCCUCUAAGUGGGAGUGAGAAACUAGUCUUUCGUGAGGUUUUCACCUCCGUGCAGGAUAGUGGAUUGCUUUCGAGAUACAUUCGUACCUAUGUCUUCGUGAGAUUUUCAUUUCCGUGUAGCUAUAGGGAAGUGUAUCCCCCUGAACUGAACUCGAUCUGUAUGAGCCUAUAAUGGGUGAGGAUCAAGGAAUCUGCUGGUUCAGGUACCCUUACUUCAGAACCGAACCACAUAUAGAAGACCUUAGGAGCACACCCUAGGUAGAGCCACUUCAAAACCCUAGUGAUCACCCGAAUAGACGUUCUAUUUAUUCUUGCUUGCUUUUGCUUUGUACUAACCUGUUUCUUUUUUGUUAUAAUUGCAUUACAUUUUCAUCAUAAAAAAGUGGUGUUGAUUCACGUUCAGUUGCGAAAUAGAGAGCUUGUCAUAAGAAAAUGAGUUUCUUGAUAAAAUGGAAGACAAUAUGGUUGUCCGAAUAUGGUCCAAGAAAACGUGAUAAGAGAAGGAUGAUAGUUUAAUGGAGGACUACACGACUAUGGAUUCAAGAUGAAAAAGAUUAUUCGAGAGCCGCUGAACUUUCUUAAAGAGAAGCCAACGAGCAUCACGAGGAUGAGUGAGCAACGAGUUGCGGCCCGGAUCGAGCAAAAAGGAGAUAGAAGAGACAUCUUUUUGAAGAGUUCGUGAGAUUUAUCUUAACGCUCGAAGAAGAGGAUCGAAUGUCUCCGCCUAUGAGGGCAAGGCCGUAUAAAUAUCCAUUUUAUGUAAAGAGAUUUGUUUUCUAGUAAAGUUUUCUAAAUGGAAUUGAAUCAGAAUCAACGUCUCUUUAUGCAUUCAUUACAUGCAUUCGCAUUACAUGACAUUAUACGUAUUAAAGUCCACUAAAAGAGCCUAAUCGAUUAAAAUCAUUCCUCAGUUAACCUGGAAACCAACCAAUAAACUAAACACCGUUACGGUACUCGGGCGAAAUCAAGAAGUAUGGACCAAAGAUUAGAAAAGCUCGAACAAUUCCAAACAUAAAUGCAGGAUCAGCUUCAGCAGCAAAUGAAUGAGCAGCUCGAGAAGAUUCAGCAGAAUUUGAAGGAAAAAAUGAUGGAAUCUCAAGGGAAUAUGAUGGCUAAGUUGACUCAGUUGCUGACCGGAGAAAUUGAUAAAGGAAAAAACUCUGUGCUUAAUGUUGAAGAAGGAGACAGUGAGGGACCUGUCUAUCCUCCAGGCUUUACCCCUCAGCAAGUUGAGGAAUGUCCGCGUAAAUCCUCUGUCACCAUUAGGCCGCAGCAAUUUCAAGCUAGUGCUUCAAUGCCAAUGAAUUUUCAAGUUGGAUCAGGCUCUAAUCCGAGAGACAACCUUUCAAUACGGCUAUUCCUGACUUCGAUGAAACAGCGGGAAAAGAAAAAGUGAAGGAUGAGUUGCCAAAACAGCUAGAGGAAAAGUACAAAUGGCUGGAAGAGAAAUUUAAAACGAUGGAAUGUGCUGAGAGCUACUAUAGGAUUGAUGCUGAAGAAUUAAGCUUGGUUCCGGAUUUAGUACUCCCUUACAAGUUCAAAGUGCCAUAGUUUGAGAAGUAUAAUGGAACUAGUAGUCCCGAAGCCCAUAUUACUAUGUUUUGUAGGCGGAUAACUGGGUAUGUUAGUAAUGACCAGUUGUUGAUACAUUGUUUCCAGGAUAGCCUCACAGGGGCAGUGUCCAAGUGGUACAAUCAAUUAAGUCGUGCCAAGAUUAAUUCAUGGAAAGAUUUAGCACAGGCAUUCAUAAAGCAGUACAAUCAUGUAACUGACAUGGUACCUGAUAAAAUCACUCUACAAAACAUGGAAAAGAAGUCCGGUGAAAGUUUUAGGCAAUACGCACAGAGGUGGAGGGAGGUCGCCAUCCAAGUUCAGCCACCGCUCCUGGAAAGGGAAAUGACAAUGCUAUUCAUAAAUACAUUGAAAGCUCCGUUCAUCACAUAUAUGUUAGGGAGUGCCACAAAAAUAUUUUCUAACAUAAUCAUGAAUGGUGAAAUGAUUGAAAGCGCCAUAAGGAGCGGAAAGAUUGAUGCUGGAGGAAAUAAUAGAAGGCAAGCCUCAAAAGAAAAAGAAAAUGAUGUGAACAGCGUGAAUAUGUACAGUAAAUCGAUUGCUAAUCAGUAGGGUUCAUCAAGACAAGAAUCAUGUGUGAAGCAAGGUACUGAAAAACUCCAGUUCACGCUAAUUCCAAUGUCGUACAAAGAGCUGUAUCAAAGCUUAUUCGAUGUGCAUGUUGUUUCUCCUUUACAUGUGAAGCCUCCACAGCCUCCGUAUCCCAAAUGGUACAACGCAACUGCACAAUGCGAUUAUUAUGCGGGAAUUACAGGACACUCAAUAGAGAAUUGCAUUACCUUCAAAAAGUUAGUUGAAAAAUUCAUCAACAUGGGUAUUGUCAAGUUGGAUGGCUCAUUUAAUGCAGAAAAUUCGCUACCCAAUCAUGAUUGACAAUGGAGUGAAUGCAAUAUAUGAGGAGAUAUUGGGAAGUGUUCACAUCAAUGACAUAUAGGGAGACACAAAUGAAAGGGGGACCUUGUUAGAUAUCCGCCCUUAUAAAUCUGGGAGUGUUCUAAGUAAUUGAACUGCGGAAGAAAUCCCUAUAAUUUUUAGAGCUUAUUUAGAGUAAUGUUCAGAACAUUUUUGUUGUUUUUAGCCUAAAAAUGAUAGAAAUUCCUUUGUGAAAUAGGCUCAUGUCUGAACGUCGUUAUUCUAAUAAAAUACAUCUUUGCAUUCAUUUUUGAGCCAAUAUUUUUUCAUUCUUUUUGAAAUAAUUAUUUUUUCAUUCUUUUGGAUUUUCUUCCAUGUCAUUAUUUCAUUUAUAAUUAUAUUGUACAAAUAGUUAUUCAUAAAUACAUUCUUUUGUAUAUUCUUUUAUAUUGGGUCUCCAGAUAUCAAUAACAUGAGUGACGCUGCUACAGGCUCAGAAUUUUCUUUUGAGCGAAGCAUGUGUUUAGAGGGAUUUCAUGACUUUGAAGAUAACAUAGAUUGUAGCCUAUUUUCGGACUUGUUAAAGAUGGUAGAACAAGUCGAGAAACGGAUCUUACCCUACAAAGAAUCAUUGGGAUACAUGACUUCUCAUUAUAUAGGGCAUGAAGGUUAUUUGGUCGAUCUUGUCAAAAGAGUCUGACGGCCAUUGAUUCAUCUUUGUGAUCGUCAGUUACUUUACUAAAUAAAUAGAAGCUGCUUCAUAUGCCAAUGUCACAAAGUCGACAGUUAACAAAUUCGUGAAAAAUCAUAUGUCAGUAUGGGACGCCAAAAGGAUUAUAUCUGACAAUGUACUAAAUUUGAACAACAGCAUAAUAUCAAAAGUUUGCAGUUUGUUCACGAUUAAUGCCAUAUUGCCUAAAAAAAUAUGGCGCGAAAAAAAAAACUCUGCCAGGGUAAUGCCUUUCUCUUGGGCCCAUCGCGGUUUUGCCUAUUGAAGACAAAAUUCUUUCUGAGUUUUUGAAUCCAAUUCCGAUUGAAGAGGAAUGUUCAAAGUUGUCCAUCAUGGUCAAAUGAGCCAAAAGCAAAUGAUGCAAGUUCACAAAAAAGAUCCAUCCUAGAGAAUUCCUUGAGAGGAACCUGGUAUUGAAAAAGAUCCUUCCCAUACAAAAAGAACUUCAUCCCAAGCUGGGAAGGACCUUAUGUGGAAGGCCUUAUUUAGAAAAGCGUCGAUUUUGAUCAAAAAGGAUAACAAGGACAUGCAUAAUCCUAUGAGUUCAGAUUCAAUCAAAAAUAUUUCAAAAUAUAAAAAAAAACAAAAAAAAAUAGAGAGAAAAGAAGAAAGAAAAUGGAGAGGCCAAGAUGAAAACCCGCAAAGGGCGCCUUGAAACCAAAGGGGAUUUGAGUUGAAAACCCGAAAAGGGCAGCUCAAAUAUUGAUUAGAAUGGGGCAUGAGAUGAUCAGAGCAGUUCAAAUUUUGAUCAGAUUGGGGCAUAUGAUGAUCUUGAAUCAAUAAGAAAGGGUAAACAACAUCUUAGGACAUCGACAGAGUACUGUAGAUCUCCUAAACACAUGUCAAACUCAGAAAGUUUGUAUAAAGAAGUUCAAGCUGCGAUAUCUGGAGCAUCCAAUUUUUAUAUUGAAUUUGCUAUUCUUGGAAUAAUUCAUGCUUUUCCAAUAUACACAUUCCCAAUCAAUUUCUUUGUUAUCCUUAUUUACUAUUUUUUUGAUAAUCUAUUCCUUUCGAGCUAUGCUCAGAACCAAUUGUAUUCUCAUCCAUUGUUAUACCCUUUUUGUAAGUAUGUUGCAUUGGAAUAAUGAUUAAUAGACUAAUAAAACUUUCACAAGGGAAGUUUGGCAUAUUACUCUAGAAGUUUCUAAAUAAUACAGGAACCUGAAACAGAAUUAUUGUUUAGAACGCACCAUGUUUAAAGGUUGGAAAUCUGAAAAAGAAGAGUCUAAAUUAAGACUUUCUCUUUGGAUUUUGUUGUUAAAAACAUUGACUGAACAAAAUGACAAAGCUUAAAUAAACAACUAAGCAAUGAUCACCCUGACAUUGCAGUGGAGUAGAUUGAAGCACCAGUUCUUAUACCUCUGAAGAUGCAGUAGGAAGGAAUGAAGCUACUUGAAGAAGAAGAGUACCAAGGUCCAGCACGACCGAUCAAAAUUGGUUAUUUUUAAAGUCUUUACUUCAUUCCCGUUUCACGACAACAAACAAAGAGGGACAGCUGUAAUACCCAAUUUUAGCCUGGGCGCAUGCAAAUUAAAUAAAAAAAUAAAACCAAAUAAAAUAAAAUUCAGUCCAUUGUCCAUUUACACCCAAAAUAAACCCAAGAUCUUAGCCCAAUUACAUAAAUAAUUAAAACCCAAAUAACCUAAACCCUAGCCCAACAAGCAGCCCAAUACACCCAACAUUUUCAGCAGAGAAAAAAACAAAAAACCCUAGGUAGCCGCAAGCCUAACAGCAACCAAGUGUGCUGUCGUCGCCGCCAUUUACGCGCUACACCUACACGUUGACUGGCCACGUACCUGCAAUUCAGCAAAUAAGGAAGCAAACAGCAAAAAGAAAGGGACUAAUAGAAAAAUGGAAGGAAAGAAAUAUUAUUAUUAUUUAUAUAUCUAUUUUCCUUUUCGUUUUGGCUAUAAAAAGCCAAUUAAAAUCUGUAACAGGGGGAAGACCCGCAUAUUGUAUCAAGAAAUUACAAAAAGAAAAUGAAAAGGAAAGACUGAAUUUUUUUUUCAGAUCUGAUUUUUUUUAAAGUUUUUUUUUUCUGUUGUUCUGUUCUUUUUUUUAUAUAAGUAUGAAACAAAAUAAAAAGGAGGGUGAUUUAGUUUUUUUUUUUUUUGAGUUUUCUUCUUUCUGUUUCGAUCUCUAUUUCAUGUCUUUGAAAUAAUAGUAAGAGAGGGGAGGAGUUGUUUACCUUUUGAUCGGCGGCGUCGUUGUGCUGUGUGGGAGAUGUUUGUAAACGGCGCAGAGAAAGGAAAUGAGCUAUUAAGUUUUUUCUCCUUUGCUUUCUAAUGGCCGAAUGAUUAAGGUUUUUUUAGAUUUAUGAUAAUUUUUAAAACAACACCGUUUGGACUUUAUGCCAAGGCUCAAUGGCUUAUUUGCACUUUUGGUCCUCCUGUUUUACAAUGUUUUUAAAUUACUUUUUUUAUUUCUUGUAAAUUUCGCAACGCAUUUUAUUAUUGUUUCAAUUUAGUCCAAUGUUGUGCAGUGUUUUGGGAGGCUUGGGUAAAUUGCUCCUUCGGUCCUCCUCCUGUUGCGCGUGUUUUAAAUUGCUCUCUUUCUUGUUUUAUUUUUGAAUUCAUCCUUUAAAUUCUGUUUGUUUUCAACUUAAUCCUUAAUUUGUUAUUUUAGGUUUUUUUUAUUAUAUUAUUAAUACUGUUUAUUAGUAUUAUUAUUACUAUAUUAUUAUUAGUUUUUUUUAUUUAUUAUAUCAUAUAUUAUUAUACCUACAUAUAUAUAUAUGUGCAUAUGUAUGUUAAUAUAUAUAUGUAUAUUUUAAACGUUUUUAAAUACAUAUGCAUAUUAUGUAUAUAUUUUAUUAUUAUUUUAUUUUCAUAGUUUUUAUAUAUUUUAUAUACAUUUAUAUUUUAUAAUAUUUAUAUUUUCAUAUUUUAUAAUUUAUAUAUGUUUAUACAUUCUUUGUAAUAUAUAUAUAUAUGUACUUUUUAGAAUUAUCAUAAGUUUUUUGUUAUUAUUUUUUUUUUGGCAUAUUUCAUGUUUUUAUAUAUGUAUACUUAUAUAUAUGCCUGUUUUAAUAUAUGCAUAUACAUGUUUUCAAAAUUUAUUUAUGUAUUAUACUUAUAUUUUGAAAAUACAUAUGUACAUAUAAUUUAAAUUAAAGUAUUUGUUUCAUAUCGCAUUAACAUUUUUUUAACAUAUCUUUUAGAAAAUACAUAUUUUGGUUUUGGUAAAACAUUAAAAUCAUUUUCUUUUGAUUCAAAGACUUUUAAAAUAAAAGCGAUAUUCAAAGUUCGGGAUUUUCGAGGAAAUUAAGCCCUAACGUAUUGGGUUUCGAUUUUCUUUGUUAAUCCUAAAUAACCGAGAAUAUUCUUUAUUUUACAUAAGUAUAAAAAUCAUUUUCGAGAACUUAACUUGUUGCGUCCGAAUGUAUUGGGCGUAACAUAUUGCCUUCUCGAAAUGAAGAUUUUCUUAUAAAAUAAAAGCGAUAUUCAAAGUUCGGGGAUUUUGAGAAAUUGUACCCUAACGUAUUGGGUCUCGAUUUCUUCGCAUGAUUUGAAUUUUUGAUUAUCCUUUUCAGAUUUCAUUAUUGGAGUUUGUUUUUUAAAAAAAAUCUUUUUAACCCUCAACACUAAGACAUUAAAUAAUCAAUUUGGUACUGAUUUUUGGGCGUUACGAGGGUUCUAACCCUUCCUCGUGCGUAACUGACUCCCGAACUCGUUUUCUCAAAUUUCGUAGACCAGAAUAAUUUUUAAGGUGGGCAAAUCACACCUCAAUAAAGGAUCGGUGGCGACUCCAAUUUUUGUUUUUUAAAGUCGAUAACUAAAUUUUUGUUUUCAAAAAAUGGUUUCGACAUUUUUUAACACACUUUUUUAGCAUUAGACCCUCCAAAAUUUCAUAAUUUUAUCUUAAUCCCCUAAAUAAAAUUUCUAACUUUAUCCUUGCUUAAUAAUGCGAAAAUUGGAUGUAGGUUAAUUAGUUGAAUGGACUUAAUUUAAGUUGUUCAAUUUAGCAAGUGUAAUAGUUUAUUUUAAUUAAAACUGUUGGUAUGAUUAAUUAAUUAAUUGUAAUUAAAAAAAUUCCAUUCUAAAAAAUUAGGGAUAAUAUAAGUUCCUCUAAACUUGGCAACUAGUCCACUUUGGUAUCUGUACUUUUUUUUUAUCUUUGAAUUUGACAACUAGAUCCAUUUUGGUCUUUGAACUUGGAUUCUGUAAAGAUUUAAUGAUGUACCUAGUGUUAUUGGAAUAAGAUCGGAUUAGACAAACCAAGAACUAAUCAAUAUAAUGGUAUGAGCAAAAAGGUUGAAUCGAUUGGCUCGAAAAAAAAUUAAAUUUGGUAAAAAUAAAAAAAAUGAACAAAAAUAAAGAGUUGAACCGGUUUAAUAUUUUUUUCAUUUUUUUUAGAUUUUUGUGAAUUUUUAAUUAUUUAUUUAGUUAUUGUUGGCUCAACAAUCAAGCCGGUCAAACUGGUUGAAUCAAGAACCAUUGGUCUAACCUAUUUAACCACAGUUUUAUUAAAACAUUGAAUGUGAUACUUUGAUAUGGUACCACAUGAUCACCUUAAAAUUUAUAUAAAUUUUUUUAAUUUUCAAGUGAUUAUGUAGAACCUCAUCAAACUUUUAUAGGCUCUAAGUUUAAGGGUAACCAAAAUGGACCUAGUUGUCAAAUUCAAGCACCAAAGUAAAUUAAAAAAAUAUAUAAAUAUCAAAAUGGACCUAAUUAUUAAACUUAGGGGCCAAAAUUCAUAUUACCCAAAAAAAAUAUAAAAAGUAUUUGUGGAUCUAAUGCCCUAAUAAGUCCUGUUUCAUAAAAUAGAAAAGAAAAGAAAAAAAACUCCAAGAUGGGCAAAAUUUAUUUGUCUAUGUCUGAAUUUGGGGCUUUUUAGCUAAUUAAUACCCAACGAAAUAUGCAGAAACGGACUACCAAAAUAGUGACAACACCAAAUGCAACUAUCAUGUAUAACUAUUGGUACGAGGUAUUCAUGAUGAAACUCAAUUGAGUUUACAGGUAGUUAUAUGAAAAUAUAUUUUUAUCUAAGCUUGGUUUGAUUUAAAAUCUUGUUAAACAUCAUUAUAUUUGGGUAAAUUACACAUAAAAGCCCUAUUUUUUUAAAAUUUACCAAAAUGGACCCGAUAAAUAAUUAUUUACCGAAAUGGGCCCAUUUUCCCGAAAGCGCGUCCACGUCAGCGCGAUGUCAGAGUACAUGACAGGAAAACGCGUCUCUGAUGGAGCAUUUUGCCUGUUUUGGGGUUUUAAGGUUUAAGGUUUUAACCUUUAGGGUUUAAGGUUUUAAGGUUUAGGGUUUAUGGUUAAAAAUUAAAUAAAUAAAGGUUUUAGGGUUUAAGGUAGAGGUGUUCACAGGCCGGGCAGGGCCUGGUUCAGGCCGGGCCCAAAAAAAUUUGGCCCGCUUCUUAGCCCGGCCCAAAAUAUGGGCCUAAAAUUUUGUCCAGGCCCAAUGCGAGAAAAAAUUUCUAAGCCCGAGCCCAGCCCGCCCCAACCUAUUUUUUUAGUAAAAACCCAAAAAAUUAUUUUAAAUAUAAAAAGAAUAAAAAAGUAUUUUAAAAACAUUUUAAAAUUAAAGAAUAAAAAAUACUUAUUUAUUAUAUAUUCGGGUCGUGCCGUGCCGGGCUCGAGCCAAAAAAGUGGUGCCCGAGGCCCGGCCCGUUUUCUAAACGGCCUCGCUUUUUUGCCCAAACCCAUAUUUCGGGCCUAUAUUUUUACCCAAACCCUCCCAUAUUUUUUGCCCGGCCUAUGAACACCUCUAGUUUAGGGUUUGUCAAUUAAAUUAUUUAUAAAUUUUUCAUAAUUGGAUUAGUUUUCGUGUUUAUUUUUAAAAAAAAUCACUUAAAUUAGGGUUUAGAGUUACUUGAGUAAUUUAAUUAAAAAAUUUUAAAAAUUAGAUUAGGGUUAGGGUUUAGGGUGUUUUUAAGUUAAGGGUUUUUAAGGAAAAAUCAAAUAAAUUAGUGUUUAGAGUUUAGGGUUUGUCAAUUAAAUUAUUUAUAAUUUUUUCAAAAUUGGAUUAGUUUUCGUGUUUAUUAUCUUUUAUGAAAAAAUCAAUUAAAUUAGGGUUUAAGGUUACUUGAGUAAUUUAAUUAAAAAAAUAAAAAUUAGAUUAAGGUUAGGGUUAGGAUUAAGGUUAAGGUUAGGGUUAAGGUUUAGGGUGUUUUUAAGUUAAGGGUUUUUAAGGAAAAAUAAAUAAAUUAGGGUUUAGAGUUUAGGGUUUGUCAAUUAAAUUAUUUAUAAAUAUUCGUAGCCAAAAUUGGAUUAGUUUUCAUGUUUAUUAUUUUUUAAGAAAAAUCAAUUAAAUUAGGGUUUAGGGCUACUUGAAUAAUUUAAUUAAAAAAAUUUUAAAAAUUAGAUUAGAAUUAGGGUUAGGGUCAGGGUUUAGGGUGUUUUUAAGUAAAGUUUAUAUGUCAUAAAAAAUUCUGAACAAAGUAAAGCAUUUUACAAGAAUAAUUUUUCGCUUUCAAAGUAAAUUUUGUUCUUUUCUUGCAAAUUGUUAUCUAAUAGGUCCAUCAAUUGAGUUUACCGAUUGACUAUAAAUAAGGUAAAAUUUUCCCUCAGAUCGCAUAAGUUAAAACAAAAAAAAUUUAAAGAGGCUAAAAAGGAUAGAAAUUGAAGAUAAGUGAACAUAUUAGUGUUGUUAUUUACUAUGAUGGUGAGGUUUGCUACACUGAGAAUGGUGUUAUUUUUUUGUCGGAGAAUACAGUGCGACUGGUUUUUAACCAGAACAUAGAUUUGACAGAACUUCGUAAAAGAAUUAGGCGUAAAAUAUUCGAAACGACGCCAAUGAAAGUUCUGUCUAUUACGUAUCGAUUUUGUCCUUCAGUUGAUCCGGUGACAUAUGACUCGUUCUACAUAAGAGGUGCUCGUAGCUUGGAGGCAAUGGUGUAGACUCAUCUCGCUCGUGGAGCACCGUAUAUUAAGUUAUACGUACAAUUUACAUCACCAAAUGGUGCAGUUGCGACUAGUGUUUGAGAGGUAUACGCGACCCAUGCCCGACACUCGGUUAGUGCAUUACAAAACUCGGAGCAGCCCAUGUUUGGUAGCGGUGUGGAAUACACAACCCCUGCACGACACUCUGUCGGUGGAUGGGAUAUGCACCUCGGUGGGUCGAUGUUUGAUGCUAAAAAUACAUACUAGGGAACAGCAUCAACUUCUACUAGUUGGCAAUAUACAUCCAAUUUGGGACAUUAUGAAACGCCCAGAAAAAGGGAUGAUGUACUCCCUACGACGUCCACCGGUGAGAGGACCUCGUACGUUGCAGAUGAUGGUAGGUUAGAAGAUGACUCUAAUGUGCAGAAGUUGGAUUAUUUUAUGAACCGGAACCUAUUCCAACCGAACCUGAAGAUGUUGAAGGGGGUUCAGAUGAAGAAAAAGAUCCACGAUUCAGGGCAUACUCACCUCCAACCCACAUGCAUAAUGUCAAUCUGUCUGCAGAUGAUGCGUUAGAGUUUCCAGACCUACCACACCGGUUGCGUGAUCGUACAAGUUCGGUACUGGAUUCGGGUGAAUUUGAAGUUGGUAAUCAGUUUUCUAACAAGAAUAGUUUUAUUUGUGCUUUGAAACAACAUAGCAUCAAUAACGGCGAAAACUACCACGUCGUUAAGUCCAAAACCGAUAAGUUUGAGGCGAAGUGUGCAGUGCAAGAUUGUACUUGUUCAUGGAAAAUCUACGCCUCGUUAAGGAAAAACACAGGGUUGUGAGAGAUUAAAAAGUACAAAGGUUCACAUACAUGUGUUGCAGGUACAGUAUUUAGGGUUUUUGAAUAAUACUGUUAUUAUAUAAUGUUGCAUUAUUUAAUGUACUCCAUUUAUAGGUAUUUCACAAGAUCAUCCCAAGAUGGAUUCAGCUAUGUUAGCUAGCUUAAUAUUGCCCACGGUGAAGGCAGAUCCUAAUACUUCUUUCUAUCUAGGUUAAGGAGGCAUGUGUGCCCCCAACCUGAUAUCUGUGUUAUUUGGGAUCGGGCACCGGCAUACUAGCUGCAAUUGAUCAACAAGGAAGCUUAUGGCAGCGCACACAUCAUCGGUAUUGCCUAAGGCACGUUGCUUCCAACUACUACAGGCAAUAUCCAUCUAAGAUUGAACGACAACAAGUGACCAACAUGGGUAUUUAGUCUCUAUUAAUAUAAUUUCGUUUAUCAUUUUAAAUUUAUUCUAAUUGAAAGAGUGGUAUGUAAUAUUCGCUAUGAACUUAUAUUGGCAGGGUAUGAAAUAAAUAAAGAUCGUUUUCAUGAGAUGUUGGCAGUUUUGCAUUCAAUUAACGGCGAAGGUGUGGACUACCUUUGCAACAUACCUUUCGAACAGUAAGCAUAAGCAUACGACGACAGCCUACGAUAUGGUCAUAUGACCUCAAACCUAGCUGAAUGCAUAAAUUUUGUUCUAAAAGGAACUCGCCAUCUACUGAUAACAUUGGUUGUGCUAGAGACAUAUUUUCGUUUAGUGGUGCUAUUAUUAAAGUGAGCAGAGAGUUAUGCAAGCCAGAUGCGGGGAGGUCAUUAUCGGUGUUGGGACGAUGAGCCACCUUGAUAGAAUAGUGACUGUGGAGGUGUUUGCAUCACCAACGGUGAAGCUGUUUGAAACCCAUAUGGUGAUGGAGAUUGGUAAAAAGAAGAGCUCCCCGAUGGCCCCUCCUACGAUCCCUCGUGCUACGCUGGCAUAUACAUUGACGAUCCACUCGGCGUAACGAAAAAUGGAGAUGAACCGAGCCAUAGAAUCCAACCUGUCAUAGGACUCGGAAAAGGAAACAUAUAAGGGUUAGGAUACAUAAAAGGGUUAGGAUACGCACUUGGCAUCAUCGAAAAAGGCUGUUUCAUGGGCAUUAUCAGUUGAACUGCUGGGUCAGGUGACUGUGUCGGUGCUCUCGCUGGGCAUGAGGAUUGAAUGGCCGCUGAUGACGGGCCAUGUGAAUGUGUGGGCCUCGUUGAUGGGCCUGCGUCGUCGUCCCUUUGUAUUGCAUUUAAAGGCCCACGCCAUUCCCUUUAGACACGUAAUUGCCGCUGCCUCUCCUCUGUCUACAGUAAAUAUGGCUUCCUAUGGAUCCUAAACUAUGACAUGUAUUUCGACACGCAUACUAACUCAGAAACGAUGAUCGGUUCCCGAUUAGGUAUAUAAUCAUACCGAUCUUCCCACAUUUGGAUAUAGUACGACCAGAAUCUCGGUCAGUCCGUAUGCAAUUACCGUAGGUCAAUUUUGUGAUGAUCAUCAAACACCUCAAGUCCUACGGGAAUCGGUUGUCUACAUCCAAAUUGCCGUAAUACUUUGUCUGACUGGUGUAUCUCCACGGUCGCAUAGUUGACCAAUGCAACUUUCACAUGCCAAGCGUUUGGAUUUUGGAGGUAUUCAUCUGGAAUUACUGCCCGAAUUGUCGGAUCCUUGUAUGGUGUCCAUUGAAACUAUAUAAACAUGAUGCGUAUAUUAGUUAUAUACAUAGUACAUAAUACUAAAUACUAAAUACCAAUCGACUAGCUCAUGAUGAAAAUAUCAAUUUUAUUUAAUACUUACUUGUGCUUUCGACUGUUGGUCUAAUAGAAGCCGUAUAUCUUCAAGAGAGGUAGGUAAUCGAGCAUAACUUGCCGGAUGGUUCCACCUAAUUAAAUAAAUUUUUAGCAUACUAUUAUUUUUAAAAUCUACGUAAUAAUUAUAAAAUCUAAUAUAAAAUUUACCUCGUUAUGAGUGAGAAUGUAUAUGGGUGGUCCACUCGAGGACGUAAAAAUAGAAAGCGAAACCGUGCCCAUGACUGCAGUAGUGACAGGCAACCUCCGAUUUUCACUUUACCUGAUCGCGUCGCCCCCCACAUCUCCCUUUAUAAUGUCGCCAACACGGCAGAACCCCAACUCAAUUCACCAGGUGAUCUAAAAUCAACGAGUUUCAGCAGCCAUCUUAGAUGUACGAGGUUCCGUAACAAGUCCGGCAUCAGAUAACCUCCAAUUAUCUGAAGAAUGUAUGCCCGAGCAUAUCAGAUUCUUUCUACUUUAGUUGAAUCAUCAUCCGAAUCUGAAAAUGUGUCUCGUAACCAGCCCAUCUCGAUCCGACCUCCGUUAAUUUUCUCCGGAAUAGCGCCUAAAAGUGAUAGUGCACUCUCCACAUGGAAGAUGAAAUGUGUGCGUCUCGGGUCUCCACCUCUCAAUCAACGCACUGAUAAGUUUCAGGCCCAACUUGCAUCCCCGGCCUACCAUCGUCACGUGCCAAAAACCCGCUUCCCGCAGGUAAUUCUCUACCAACGGUGAUGGAGGACCAUGCAUAUUAUGGAUAUAUCAUUCCAAUAUCUGAUCUACAUACUUUUAUAAAAAAAUAAUAAAUUAAUAAUUAUUUAAAAAUGCAUAAAUAAAAAAAUCUUAAAUAAUAUUUAAAAAAUAAAUUUAACCCUUACCAUUUUCAUUUGUUCGACGGAUAUGUACUUGUUAUCAAGACGAAUCAAUUCUUCGGCCAUUGCUAAAUUCGUACAAAUUUUUAGGAUUAAAAAAAUAAAAAAAUAGAAUUUUUUAAAAAUAAUUAAAAAAUAGGGAUUUAAGAGAAAUUUGAGAGGAAAUUAAGCAAAUUGAGAUUAAAUAUGGAUUUAAGAGAAAUUUGGAAGCAAAUUGAGAGCAAUUUGAGAGGAAAUUGAGAUGUUGUUGAGAGAAUAAUAGAUAAAUGAUUAAUUUGUGAAAAAAAAUGAAGGGGUGGGGGUUUUUAUAGUUUUUUUUACCGUUGGGGGGUUCACCAACGGUCAAAAAAAGUCGUUGCACUGUUCACGCGCGGGGAAAACGCGUCCCCAGGGACGUGCUGACGUGGCAGGAAAAAACGUCCACGUCAGCGUGCUUUCUGUCCACGUCGACAAAGCGCGCCCUUGAGGACGCGUUUUCCUGUCACAUACCCUGACAUCGCGCUGACGUGGACGCGUUUUCCCGGUAUGGGCCCAUUCUGGUAAAUAAUUAUUUACCAGGACCAUUUCGAUAAAUUUUAAAAAAAUAGGGAUUUUUUUGUAAUUUGCCCAUUAUAUUUAGGUUUAAAGGUAAAAAAAUCCCUCAAAUUUAAAAAUAAAAUAAAAUAAAGCCCUUUUUUUCACUCAAUUGAGUACUUGAACUUUUAAAUGUAUCAAAAAGGUCCUCCAAUUUCUUCAACGAAAAGUAAUUAAGCCAUUGCUCUUUUUUUUCACUCAAUUGGGUACUUGAACUUUCAAAAUGCAUCAAAAAGACUCUCAAAAUUUUUCAAAAAAGCAAUUAAGCCCCUGCUCUUAUUAAAAAUUAGAAAAAUUAUUAAAUAAUAAAUCUUAGAAAAAUUAUUAAAUUUUAAUAAAAACAUAAAAAUUAGUUAAAAAUCGUAAAAAAUAAAAAAUUGUAAAAUUUUAUAAAAAAAUCAUAAAAAAAUUAACUACCCCUUGUCUUUUUUAAUUAAAGUCAUCACUUGUAGCAACACAGCGUGACAUUUGACAGAAAAUGAUAAAAAAAUAAAAAUUAAUAAAAAUUAUAGAAAAAUUAUAAAAUGCUUCUUUCGAUACUAUAAUUUUUAUAAAAAAAAUUACGAAAAUUAUAUUUCUUUACAUUUUGUAUAAUUUUCUUACGACUUUAUAAAAUUUUAUAAUUUUUUAUAUUUCUAUAUUUUUUUAUAAUUUUUUACGAUUUUUAUAAAAUUUUACAAUUUUUUAUAUUUUUUAACGAUUUUUAUAUAUUUUUCUAGUUUUUAAUAACUUUUUAAUAUUUGAAUUUUUUAACUAAAAUUUAAUAAUAUUUAUGGAUUUUAUUGAUUUUAAAUUUUUAUAACUUUUUUUUUCUAAUUUUUAAUAAAAGCAUGGGCUUAAUUGCUUUUUUUGAAAAACUUUGAGGGUCUUUUUGAUGCAUUUUGAAAGUUGAAGGACCCAAUUGAGUGCAAAAAAAACUAGGGGCCUAAUUGUUUUUUUUAAAAAGGUUUGAGAGUCUUUUUGAUGCAUUUUGAAAGUUCAAGUACCAAAAUGAGUGUAAAAAAAAAGGGCUUAUUUAAUUUUUUUUUUUUGAAAAAGUUCGAAGACUUCUUGCACCCUUAAGCCUCAUAUUUAUAAAUGAUUAAUCUAAACUCAUUUUAGGUCUAUACAUAUAUAUUUUAAUUUUUAAAAUAUAUAUUAUAUUAUUUUUAAAUUAUAUAUAUUCGUUUAUUACAAUUUUAUAUGUAGAUAACUUCACAUUUUUUAUUAAUUACACUUUAAUAUUAUAUAUAACUAUAUUUUUUGUGUUAUAAAUUAUGUAAUAUGUAAAAUUAUUAUAAUAUAAUAUAUUACAAAAUUAAAAAACAGUCGAAUCAUAUUUUAAAUAGAUCUAAUAUUUUUAUUCAAAUUCAUUUUUAAAUAUAAUAUUUUUGCACAAACUUUCGAAAUUCGAAAAAAACCUAACCAUUGUUAACUAACAUUGCGGCAACUCCAUCAUAUAACGUAUUAUUCGAAAUUCUCAAUUUCUUUUUAUCAAUCGCAUGAUAAAAAGUAUUUCUAACAACAAAGAAAAUAUUUCAACCAAAAAUAUUUUUUAAAGAUUUUGUUUAAAACUAAUAUUUUAUUCGUACCAUUUUUUUAAAUAAUAUUAUUUAUUACCCUACUUGAAGUGCAAGUAAUAUUAGUUACGUAUAAUAAUUACAGGUAGUUUAAAUUUACCUACAAUAUAGACAAUAUUAGGUUUUUUUUUUCUUGAUUCAUUUUAGGUAAAAAAUAUAUGAUAAAAGUCGAUGAAAUCAAAACUUGUAUGUUGACCUGAUGGUUAGGAUGUUCACCGCUUUAGAUAUGACUUGAAUUCGAGUCGCGUUAGUUGUGUUGCUGUUAAGGCUUUACUUUCUCUUAUAAUUUAAAAAAAUAAAAAAAAUAAAAACCCUAUCGGAAAUAUACUCAAACAAGUGGACUACUUGGACUGUUGAUUUUAUUAUAAUAUUUGAAUUGUUUUCAUGAAAAAGAACAUUUAAAAUUCAUGCCGCGCAAUUAAUAGGUAAACUACAAAAAUAGUCACUUAGAUUGCAUUUUAGUUAUUUGUAUUUGAAAUGUUAUGUUUUAGCCACUUAUGCUAUUGUUUUGUUACGAUGUGUUCAUUCUAUCAUUAAGCUCCGUUACCUCCCUAACGGUGAUCCUAUAUGGAAAUUCAUAUGAGUUUUAAAUGCCAACUUGGAUGUCUUACGUGCCAAUCCAAAUGAAAUAUAUUUAAUUAAAAACUUAUUUUCAUCCCAGCAACUAAACAUCUAAGUUGACAUUUAAAACUCAUUUGGAUUGCCACGUAGGACUGUCGUUAAGGAGGUAACGGAGUUUAACAGUAGAGUGACCGCUUCGUAACAAAACGAUAACUUAAGUGACUAAAAUGUAAUCUGAGGCAAACAAAAAUGACUACUUUUGUAGUUUACUCAUAAUUAAUUUGAUAAUUAUAUAAAAAUGCUGGAAAAUGUUAACUUUUUUUUGGUUGAGAAAAAUAUUAAUUACUAAGAGAAAAAAAGAUAUUAAUUUGUUAACCCGCCAAAAAACUUUCUGGUGGGUUUAGUGGUUAAUUAUUAUGGAAUGAAUGUUGUUUGGAGUAGUGUUUCUUAAUCGUUAUGGCUUGACCUCUCUUCAAAGCCAAGCUCUUUUGCUUGGUACUAGACCUGUCCAUGGGUCGGGCGGCCCGGCCCGACCUGACGGCCCGCCUGAAAUAUGGGAGGGUUCGGGUAAAAAUAUAGGUUCGAAAUAUGGGUUUUGGCAAAAAAAUGGGCCGGGCCUCGAGCACCACUUUUUUGGUUCGGGCCCGGCCCGGCCCGAAUAUAAUAAAAUAUUUUUUUAUUUUUUAAUUUUAAAAUACUUUUAAAAUAUUUUUUUAUUUUUUUAUUUUUAAAAUAUUUUUUUAAUGUUUAUUAAAAAUGGGCCAGGCCUGGGCAAAAUUUCAGGCCCAUAUUUCGAGUCGGGCCAGGCCCGGGCCUAGGAGGCGGGCCGAAAAUUUUUUCGGGCCCAUGAACAGGUCUACUUGGUACUUUCUGUAUAAAUUCAAUGAUUUGGUAACAAAUUUUCUCAUAUAUGGUUAGGAUGUGGUAGAUAUCUUUUGAUAAAUAUAGUUCUAGUUAUACUAUGAAUCCGCUUCUGAAGUUUAAAUCUUUAAAUUAUUAGUAAUAUUUUAGUCUCCCUAAUCCAAAAUUAGGGGUUUUAACUCAGAUUUUCUUAUAUUCAACUUCAACCAAUGUAUGCUUCUAAGUUAUAACUCUCUUUCAUCAAUGGAAGUUUUAUUUUAUAAACAUAUAUAUAUUAUUUUGUUAUUUUCAGAUUAAUUCUAUUUUUUUAAUACAAUGCCUAUAAUUAUCCGUAGCCCUUCCCCAACCUAUAUAAAUAGGAGUAGGGGUGAACAAAAUUUGAUUCGAUUCGAAAAAAUUGAAAAAAAAUUCAAAAUUUGAGUUAUUCGAAUUAUUUGAGUCAACUAAAAUAACUCAAUUCGAGUUUUGAGUUCGAGUCGAGUUGAAUUUCACAAUUCGAAUAACUCGAAUAAUCCAAAUAAUAAAUUGGUGUAAAUACCCUUUUGAUCCCUGUCAACUUUGAAAAUAAACAAAUUGGUCUCUCUCACAACAAAAGUUAGAAAAAAAAUUCAAAAUAUUUAUAAAAUUUCAAAUUUUAUAUUUUAUAAAAAAUUAUAAAAAUUAUAAAAAAUUAAAAAAUAUAAAAAAAAUUGAAAAUUUUAAAAAAAAUUCUAAAAUAAUAAUUUUAGGACCUAAUUAAUGAUUCAAAUUUUCAAGUAUCUUAUUUUUUUUUUAUUUUGCUUUGAAUUUUUUUUAAAUUUAUGUGCUCUAACAUGAAAUUAGUUAUAUUGUAACUGUAAUACCCAAUUUUAGCCCGGGCUCGCAUAUGGAAACAUAAUUUUUGAGGAUAUGCAAUCUUAGAUAUGAUAUGCAAUCCUAGAUAUGAUAUGCAAUCUUAGAUAUGAUAUAUAAUCUUAGAUAUGAUAUGCAAUCUUAGAAUAUAUGAUUUUGUAAUCUUAGAGAUUUAAUUUGUAGAUACCCUUUAAUCUCAGCCGUUGAUGUAAUUGAUCUGUACAGUUGGAUUUAGGGAGACUCAACUAUAAAUAGAGGCCUCUCCCUUCAUUGUUGAAAGAAAAGGAGGAAGAGGAAUAAAAAAGAGAACGAUUGGCAGUUUUUUAAAGGUGGCUUACUAUUUUUUUUCUUCCGAUUAUUAUUUUUAUUUACGAUUUUAAAAAGGCGGAGAAGGUGAUACCACUGCGAAUUAUAUUUAUUUAUUUUAUUUAGCCCCUCCGCCUUUUAAUGUUUUUGUAAUUAAGUUUUUUUUUCUUAAUUUACCCUUUUAUUUAUUUUUAUUUCAAUUGGGUCUAAGUUGAACGGCGUCGUUUUAGAGGAGAAGGGAAAAUUUCCCUUCCAGCCCCUCUAUGUAAUUCGCGCAUUCAAAUUAAUCCUUUUACUUUUAUUUAUUUGCAGAUUUACCCCUAUUUUUUUACUUCCGACCCAAUUUAGUCCUUUCUCAUAUUUUUCUUAAAAUCAGUAUUUCUAAUUUUUUUUAUGAAAUUAUUAUUAUAUGUAUAUAUAUAAAUAUGUUUCUUUUGCAUGUAUUUACACCUUAAAAAAACUAAUAUUUUUCGUAUAUUUUAGACACAUGUUUUAUUAAUUUUGAUAUUAUCUUAAUUAUUUUAAACUUAUAUAUUUUCAUGGAUGUAUGUAUAUUUUUUUUAUUUAUUUCAGUUAUUUGUCUAUUAAUUUAUGUUUACAUAUAUUUUUUAUUAUCUUGUCCAUUUAUUUGAUAUUUUGCAGGCCAUUAUUUUACUUAUUUGUUCAUAUAUUUGCAUUAUUUCUAUACUAUCGUAGUAUUUAUUAUUGCAUUAUAUAUUUAAUGUAGCAUAACAUUACAUUUUUUACUCGAUUUUUAAAAUCAAACUUUUUCAAAAUGGAUAUUCUUUUAAUUAAAAUAAAAACUCAUUAUUGGGAAUUCAACACGUUGUGUCCUAACGUAUUGGAUGUGACGCAUUGAUUUCUCGAAAUAAAGAUUUUUUUAAAAAUCAUGAAGGAAAUAUUCCGAGUUUGAGAUUCUAAAGGAAUUGUGCCCUAACGUAUUGGGUGUGAUUUCUUAAAUCUUCGAUAAGUGGAUGUUCUUUUAAAGUAAAGGAAAUAUUCCGAGUUUAGGAUUCUAAAGGGAUCGUGCCCUAACGUAUUGGGUGUGAUUUCUUAAAUCUUGGAUGAGUGGAUGUUCUUUUAAAGUUUUAUUGUAUAAGUAUUCUGAUCUAAUUCAUUUUGGGGGAAAUUAGAAUGUUGUGCCCUAACGUAUUGGGUGUGGCAUUUUUGCUUCUCUAAAUUGAAAAGGGUCUUAAUAUGCAACGUUUUAAGUUUUUAAAGAUUAUAUUUUUAAAAUUUUCGACCUUAAGACAUUAAUUAAUUAACUAUGUACCAAUUUUUGGGCAUAAUGAGGGUGCUAAUCCUUCCUCAUGCGUAACCGACUCCCGGACCCGUUCUUCUAAAAUUCGUAGACCAAAGUCGUUUUUAGGUGACCCAAUCACACCUUAAUAAAAGAUUGGUGGCGACUCCCAACUUUCAUUUUCUUUUUUUUUAAGUCGACAACCUAAAAUUUUUUGUUUUAAAAAAAAAAUGGUUUCGACAGCUUGGCGACUCCGCUGGGGAAUUUUUUAAGAGAGUCGACCCACAAAGUUGAUUAAUUUUUAUCUUAUGGUCGAGAAAAUAUUUAAAAAAAACUCAUGACAUCCUUUUGCAUUCAUUAUCUUCUUGUUUAAAUAUUGUUUGCAUUAUACAUUUCAUGAGUUGAACAAUGUUACCCUUUUAAGUGGGAGUGAGAAACUAUACCUUCGUGAGGUUUUACCUCCGUGUAGGGUAGUGGAUUGCUUUCGGGAUACAUCCGUACCUAUGUCUUCGUGAGAUUUUUCAUCUCCGUGCAGCCAUAGGGAAAUGUAUUCCCCUGAAUUGAACUCGAUCCAUAUGAGCCUAUAAUGGGUGAGGAUUGAGGAAUCUGCUGGUUCAGGUACCUUUACUCUAGAAGCCAAACUUCAUAUAAUGAACCUUAGGAAUCCACCCUAGGUAGAAUUAUAUUAUACCCUAGUAGAUAUCCAAUUAGGGAUCUUUACUAUUUCUUGAUUAUAUCUUGUGUUUCUAUGUUAUACUGACUUUUGGUGUUUUAUUUGCAUGACAUGGCAUUUCAUUUCACGCAUUGCAUUGUUUCAUAUGCAUUAAUAAAUAUAUUAAGGGAUUCUAAUUAAUCUAAAUUACUCAUCAGUUAAUCUGGAAACCAAUCAAGCUAUCAAACACUGCUACGAAACUCGAUCCAAAACUAGAGACAUGGACCAAAGGCUAGAACAGUUCCAGAAAGAAAUGCAAGAGCAAAUGAAUGAGCAAUUAGAAAAGAUUCAACAAAAGAUGAUGGAAAAGAUAAUGGAAUCUCAAGGGAGUAUGAUGGCUAAGUUGACUCAGUUAUUGGCUGGAGGAGUUGACAAAGGAAAGGGAUUGGUGCUCAACAAUAAAGAAUGUGACAAUGAGGGACUUGUCUAUCCUCUGAACUUUACACCCCAACAAGUUGAGAUAUACCCGCGUAGGUCCUCUGUUACCAUUAAUCCUCCGGGUGAUGCUGCAACGCAAAUGAAUUUCAAGAUGGGAUCAGGCUCUAACCCUGGUGCCAAUUUUGUUAAUCCUGCUAUUCCUGAUUUUGAUGAGAUGACUAGAAAGGAAAAAAUGAAUGAGGAAUUAUCAAAACAGCUCGAGGAAAGGUAUAAAUGGUUGGAGGAAAAACUUAAAGUGAUAGAAGGUACUGAGAGCUACCACGGAAUUGAUGCUAGAGAAUUGAGCUUGGUUCCAGGUCUGGUACUUCCUCACAAGUUCAAAACACCAGAGUUCGAGAAGUAUAAUGGAACCAGUAGCCCCGAAGCACAUAUUACUAUGUUCUGCAGGAGGAUGAUUGGAUAUGUUAAUAAUGACCAAUUGCUGAUACAUUGCUUCCAGGAUAGCCUCACGGGGGCAGCAUCCAGGUGGUACAAUCGAUUGAACCGUACCCAAAUUAAUUCAUGGAGAGAUCUAGCGCAGGCAUUCUUGAAACAGUACAGCCAUGUGACUGACAUGGUACCUGAUAGAAUUACUCUGCAGAACAUGGAGAAGAAGCCUGGUGAAAGUUUCAGGCAGUACGCACAGAGAUGGAAGGAGGUUGCUGUCCAAGUUCAGCCAUCUCUUCUAGAAAGAGAGAUGACGAUACUUUUCGUUAAUACAUUGAAAGCCUCAUUCAUCACACAUAUGUUAGGGAGUGCAACAAAAAGCUUUUCUGACAAAAUCAUGAAUGGUGAAAUGAUUGAAAGCGCCAUAAGGAGCGGAAAGAUUGAUACUGGAGGAAAUAACAGAAGGCAAGCCUCAAAAGAAAAGGGAAAUGAGGUAAACAUCGUGAAUACGUACGACAAAUCGAUUGCUAAUCAACAGGGUUCAUCAAGACAAGAAUUAGGUGUGAAGCCAGGUACUGAAAAGCUCCAGUUCACGCCAAUUCCAAUGUCGUACAAGGAGCUGUAUCAAAGCUUAUUCAAUGCGCAUGUUGUUGCUCCUUUACAUGUGAAGCCUCCACAGCCCCCGUAUCCCAAAUGGUAUGAUGCAAGUGCACAAUGUGAUUAUCAUGCAGGAAUUACUGGGCAUUCCAUAGAAAAUUGCAUUACCUUCAAAAAGCUAGUUGAAAAAUUCAUCAACAUGGGUAUUGUCAAGAUAGAUGGUUCAUCUAGUACCCAGUCAUGAUUGAAUAUGAAAGGGUGUCGAGAAGUGUUCACGAUGAAACAACUGAAGAAGAGACCUUGUCAGAUUUUUGCCCUUAUAGACUUAGGAGUGUUUUAAAUAAUUUGACUGCAGAAGAAGCCCCUGUAGUAUUUAGAGAUUACUCAGAGUAAUGUUCAAAACACACUUGUUGCCUUCAGCCUAGAGGCAAUAAGAAUUAAUUUAUGAAAUAGGCUCAUGUCUGAACGUCGUUAUUCUAAUAAAAUACAUCUUUGCAUUUAUUUUUUUAAGCCAAUAUUCUUUUCGAAUAAUUAUACUUUCAUUCUUUCGGAUCUUCUUCCAUAUUAUUCUUUUAUUCAUCCAUAAUUGUACAAAUGAUUAUUCAUACAUUCUUUUGUAUAUUCUUUGGUAUUUACUGUGGGUCCCCAGAUAUCAAUGACAUGAGUGAUGCUGUUACGGACUGAGAAGUUCCUUUUGAGUGGGAUUUGUGUUUAGAGGGAUCUCAUUACUUUAAAGAUGACACAGAUUGUAGCCUAUUUUUAGACUUGCUGAGGAUGGUAGAACAGGAAUGAAAUCUUACUUCAUGAGGGGAGAAUGGAGAUUGUGACUUUAAGAUUGCGUGCAUAACCGAAGAAAUGAAGCAUGACCUUGUUGAGUUACUUCAAAGAGUUCAAAGAUGUCUUCAUAUGGUUAUAUCAGGAUAUGCUUGAGUAAACACCGACAUUGUAAUUGGAACAACAAUACGAUAUCAAGAAUUUAUAGUAUGUUCAAGAUUAAUAUCAUGAACAAUGCAUUUAGAAUUCUUUAUCGGGGCAAUGCCUUCUCCUUUGGCUCAUCAUGGUUUAGCCUGUCGAAGUCAAGUUGCCAUUUCUCCGUUGUUGGAUUUCAUCCUAAUUGAAGAGGAAGAUCCAAAGUUUUCGUCAUAAUUAAAUUUUGCCCAAAAGGCUCUAUGAAAGAAAUUUGAUCACAAAGAAGAUCUUACAUCGGUGCUGAUCGAAAGGGAUAACGAGAACUUAUCUAAUCCUAUGAGUUCAGAUUAAAAAAAAACAAAAAACAAAAACAAAAACAAAAAAUGAAAGUGAAAGAAAAAAGAAAAAAAAAUGGAGAGGCCAAAGUGAAAACCCGCAAAAGGCACUUUGAGACCAAAGGGGAUUUAAGUUGAAAACCCGAAAAGGGCGGCUCAAAUAUUGAUCAGAAUGGGACACGAUGUGAUUAAAGCAACUCAAAGUUUAACCAGAUUGGGGCAUGUGGUGAUCUUGUUAUACCUGAAUUAUUAGGAAAAGGUAGGCAACAUCUUGGGGCAUUGGCAGAGUACUGUGGAUCACCUAAACACAUGUCAAACUCAGAAGGAUCUUUAAAAAGUUUGUACAGAGAAGUUCAAGCUGCGAUAUCUGGGGCACCCAAUAUUCAUACUGAAUUUUUUAUUCUUGGAAUACUUCAUUCUUUUCCAAGAUACACAUUCCCAAUCAAUUUCUUUGCUAUCAUUGUUUACUAUUUUUGAUAAUCUAUUCCUUUCGAGCUAUGCUCAGAACCAAUUGUAUUCUCAUCCAUUGUUAUACCCUUUUUGCAAGCAUGUUACAUUAGAAUAAUAAUUAAUGGACUAAUGAAACUUUCACGAAGGAGGUUUUGCAUAUUACUCUAGGAGUUUCUAAAUAAUACAAGAGCCUGAAACAGGACUAUUAUUUAGAACGCACCGAGUUUAAAGGUUGGAAAUCUGAAAAGGAACAGUCUAAACUAGGACUUUCUUUUUAGAUUUUGCUGUCAAAAACAUUGGAUGUCGUGUUGAUGACAAAGCCUAAAUCAAACAAGCAAGUAAUGAUCACCAGGAGGUUACCUCGGGGAAGAGAGCCUUUAUUUGCGCAUGAGCCUUUGGUACGAUACCCUGGGAAUAGUGUAAAGGACCAUAAAGAUUUGGAUCAUGUAUCCUUGAAUUGUGAUAGGAAAGGAUUGAAGAAAGCCACGUAUUUUAGUGGGAGAACGAUGGUAUGAAUUUUUGCGCCCCAAUGGAUUAAACUUGAAGGGCAACCUGACUAAAGGUUUAUUCAGAAAAGCCAGUCAAGUAAGAAGGCGUUGUAGCACGUUAGUCACAAAGCCUUAAUAAACUUCGAGUAAUGACAACCUAAACAGGAUCAUUCUCGGAAAAAUAAAAUUUUGUAUUCAUGCAUUUGAUGCAUUUUGAUCAUGCCAUUCUAAUCAUUAGGCAUAAUUAAGUUCAUUAUACAGGUCAUGCUCCCCAGAGAACAGAUCAGUGAAAGAACAGAUCUUGUCUUCCUGCAUCGACAGCGAAGCAGAUCGAAAACAAAACCUUGCCUUUCUCGUUUGUAGUCGAGCAGAUCGAAGAUGGUGGAUUUUACCUCCCUGUGGUUAUAGUGGAGUACAUUGAAGCCAGUAAUUCUACUUCCCUGGGCAGCAGUAGAAUAGAUUGAAGAUUUCAGAUCUUAUCUCCCUAAGCAGUAGUGGAGUAGAUCGAAGAUGGCGGAUUUUACCUCCCUGUGGUUAUAGUGGAGUACAUUGAAGUCAGUAAUUCUACUUCUCUGGGCAGUAGUGGAAUAGAUUAAAGAUAGCAGAUCUUGCCUUCCUGCAUUGACAGCGAAACAGAUCGAAGAUGGCGGAUUUUACCUCCCUGUGGUUAUAGUGGAGUACAUUGAAGCCAAUAAUUCUACUUCCCUGGGUAGCAGUGGAAUAGAUUGAAGAUUUCAGAUCUUAUCUCCCUAAGCAGUAGUGGAGCAGAUCGAAGAUGACGGAUUUUACCUCCCUGUGGUUAUAGUGGAGUACAUUGAAGCCAGUAAUUCUACUUCCUUGGGCAACAGUGGAAUAGAUUGAAGAUUUCAGAUCUUAUCUCCAUAAGCAGUAGUGGAGCAGAUCGAAUAUGGUGGAUUUUACCUCCUUGUGGUUACAGUGGAGUACAUUGAAGUCAGUAAUUCUAUCUCCCUGGUCAGCAGUGGAAUAGGUUGAAGAUUGUAAGUCUUAUCUCCCUGCAGUUGCAGUGGAAUAGAUUGAAGCACUAGCUCCUAUACUUCUGAAGAUGCAGUAGGAAGGAAUGAGGCUGCUUGAAGAAGAAGAGUUUCAUGUUCCAGCAAGACCGGGCAAAAUUGGGCAUUUUUAAAGUCUUUGCUCCGUUCCUGUUACACGACAACGAGCAAAGAGGGGCAGCUGUAAUACCCAAUUUUAGCCCGGGCUCGCAUAUGGAAACAUAAUUUUUGAGGAUAUGCAAUCUUAGAUAUGAUAUGCAAUCCUAGAUAUGAUAUGCAAUCUUAGAUAUGAUAUAUAAUCUUAGAUAUGAUAUGCAAUCUUAGAAUAUAUGAUUUUGUAAUCUUAGAGAUUUAAUUUGUAGAUACCCUUUAAUCUCAGCCGUUGAUGUAAUUGAUCUGUACCAUUGGAUUUGGGGAGGCUCAACUAUAAAUAGAGGCCUCUCCCUUCAUUGUUGAAAGAAAAGGAGGAAGAUGAAUAAAAAAGAGAACGAUUGGCAGUUUUUUAAAGGUGACUUACUAUUUUUUUUCUUCCGAUUAUUAUUUUUUAUUUACGAUUUUAAAAAGGCGGAGAAGGUGAUACCACUGCGAAUUAUAUUUAUUUAUUUUAUUUAGCCCCUCCGCCUUUUAAUGUUUUUGUAAUUAAGUUUUUUUUUUCUUAAUUUACCCUUUUAUUUAUUUUUAUUUCAAUUGGGUCUAAGUUGAACGGCGUCGUUUUAGAGGAGAAGGGAAAAUUUCCCUUCCAGCCCCUCUAUGUAAUUCACGCGUUCAAAUUAAUCCUUUUACUUUUAUUUAUUUACGGAUUUACCCCUAUUUUUUACUUCCGACCCAAUUUAGUCCUUUCUCAUAUUUUUCUUAAAAUCAGUAUUUCUAAUUUUUUUAUGAAAUUAUUAUUAUAUGUAUAUAUAAAUAUGUUUCUUUUGCAUGUAUUUACACCUUAAAAAAACUAAUAUUUUUCGUAUAUUUUAGACACAUGUUUUAUUAAUUUUGAUAUUAUCUUAAUUAUUUUAAACUUAUAUAUUUUCAUGGAUGUAUGUAUAUUUUUUUUUCAGUUAUUUGUCUAUUAAUUUAUGUUUACAUAUAUUUUUUAUUAUCUUGUCCAUUUAUUUGAUAUUUUGCAGGCCAUUAUUUUACUUAUUUGUUCAUAUAUUUGCAUUAUUUCUAUGCCAUCGUAGUAUUUAUUAUUGCAUUAUAUAUUUAAUAUAGCAUAACAUUAUAUUUUUUACUCGAUUUUUAAAAUCAAACUUUUUCAAAAUGGAUAUUCUUUUAAUUAAAAUAAAAACUCAUUAUUGGGAAUUCAACACGUUGUGUCCUAACGUAUUGGAUGUGACGCAUUGAUUUCUCGAAAUGAAGAUUUUUUUUAAAAAUCAUGAAGGAAAUAUUCCGAGUUUGAGAUUCUAAAGGAAUUGUGCCCUAACGUAUUGGGUGUGAUUUCUUAAAUCUUGGAUAAGUGGAUGUUCUUUUAAAGUAAAUGAAAUAUUCCGAGUUUAGGAUUCUAAAGGGAUCGUGCCCUAACGUAUUGGGUGUGAUUUCUUAAAUCUUGGAUGAGUGGAUGUUCUUUUAAAGUUUUAUUGUAUAAGUAUUCUGAUCUAAUUCAUUUUGGGGGAAAUUAGAAUGUUGUGCCCUAACGUAUUGGGUGUGGCAUUUUUGCUUCUCUAAAUUGAAAAGGGUCUUAAUAUGCAACGUUUUAAGUUUUUAAAGAUUAUAUUUUUAAAAUUUUCGACCUUAAGACAUUAAUUAAUUAACUAUGUACCAAUUUUUGGGCGUAAUGAGGGUGCUAAUCCUUCCUCAUGCGUAACCGACUCCCGGACCCGUUCUUCUAAAAUUCGUAGACCAAAGUCGUUUUUAGGUGACCCAAUCACACCUUAAUAAAAGAUUGGUGGCGACUCCCAACUUUCAUUUUCUUUUUUUUUAAGGCGACAACCUAAAAUUUUUUGUUUUCAAAAAAAAUGGUUUCGACAGUAACAAUGUUUUUAUUUGACAUGUUUAAUUUUUUUUAAUUUAACUCGAACAAUUUCACUUUAUUCAAAAAAUUUUCAAAUUAUGUUAGGAUGAUAAAAUAGGAUUUGUGAACUCAAAAUUUUUUUACUUGAUUUGAUCAAACGCUCACCCUUAAAUAGGAGGAUAUUGCGCUUUAGCGCACUCAAACCCAUGUUCUCCUACAUAAGCAACAAUACUCAUGUCAAUUAAGCUAAUACUCAAACAUCAAUUCUAUUAUUUAUUUUCAUUUUAAAAUGAUAACAAUAAUAAAAAUUGGACGUAAAUCUCUUUUUGUUUAAAGAAUUACAAACGGUGAAAUCUUAAUAAAUAAAUAAAAUGUGUCAGUGGUAACAUGGGACUUUUGCACUUUCAAAAACAUCACUCCUUCCCACCUUUUUUAUGAAAAUAAAAAUUAUUUUAACUAAUGUUAUGUGACAUAUUACUGCGCCCAUAAAUAAAAUUCAGAAUUAAAAACUAAAAUAUUCAAGUGAUUAAUAUAUUUUUUUUCCUUAAAGGCAACAUGUGGGCAUGGCAUGUAAUGAUCAAAAAGUUGAGUCCCAUUACAUUACAUUACCAAUUGCCAUUGUUUAGCCCAAAGUUUCCACCUUUAUAAAUACCAUACAAUUCCCCUUCAUUAGCCUUUGUACCAUAAACAAUAACCCACUUUCAAUUUCAGAAAAACGAAAAUGGGUAUUGGCAGCCUCACAUUGCCUUCACCACCUCAAUUCGUUAUCCUCUCCCUUCUUCUCUUGUGUGCUUUUGGUGAAGCCGUUGAUCCAUUUGCUUGUGACCCGAAAGAUGCGGUGACGGCUGGUUUUCCUUUUUGCAAGGUUUCGAUGCCGAUGUCGGAUAGAGUGAAUGACCUUGUAGGGAGGUUGACGUUGCAAGAAAAAGUAAGGUUGUUGAUAAACGGUGCGGCACCAAUUCCACGGUUGGGGAUCGAAGGGUAUGAAUGGUGGUCGGAAGCUCUUCAUGGGGUCUCUGAUGUGGGUCCUGGGACUAAGUUCGGUGGGGCAUUCCCUGGUGCUACUAGCUUCCCUCAAGUAAUCUCGACUGCUGCUUCUUUCAAUGCUACGUUAUGGGAAGCUAUUGGACGAGUAAGUUCUUUUUUUUUUUUUGUCAUCUUAAAGAUUAAAAAAAUUAAAAUAAUAUUGUUGAUUACUUUUCACUCUAUCUUAAGUAGUGAUAUCUAUAUAUUUAUAUGAUAUAAAUAUUAUUAAUUGAUAUGACAUGUUAAGUAAAUUUUAUAUAUAUAUACGUAUUUAUAAGAUCUUAUACAUAUAUAAUUUUACAAAAAAAUAAACUCAACCUGUAAAUUCAUUACAAUUCAACUCAAUUCAAUUAAGUUUUAGACCGGUAAUGAUAAUUAUAUUUAAUUGGACUUUUAUAUCAUUGGGUAUAUGUAGAAUUAUUUUAGGGAAAAAAGGUGACAAGUGGAUUGAAUGAUAGUUUUAUGAGCCAUUGAGAAGUUAACUUUGUAUGACAUAGCCUCUACUAUUAGACUGGUAGAUAUGUCAGUUUUGUCAACUGUGGAUUUAAAAAAUUGCAGUAUGCUUCAUUUCUUUUUAUAUUUCAUUAUACUUCGACAGAUAGUCAUACCUCAGCAUUAUUAGAUGAAGUAAUGUUAUCCAUAAAGCUAUCAUCAUCUUCUAAAUUUGAUGAUUAAGUCUUAAUUUAAUUAGUGUGUAUUAUUAUCUAUAUAAGAAGAUGUAAAUUUAAAUAUGUUAAAGUGUAUUAUCUUUCUAUUUAUGAAUUAAGAGUUAUAAAUAAUUUUAAACAUUACGUUAAAAAGAACAAAUAUAAUCAUAUACUAAAUUUUUAAAUAUGUAUUAGAUAUUUGUGUUUCACACUUGAUACAAAUAGAUUAAAGAUUAUAAACGUACUGGCUAGCUUUAUGCUUUUCUUGAACUCCAAGACAAAGAAGGUAAGAUCCAUGUCUCGCAAUUUGCUCAUUUCACAGUGUUAUGAUUGGUUCACAAAAUCAUCAAGUGGAAUCAUUAUUAUUGGAUAGCAUUCCAGGCAACUUGCAAGCGUAAUUUUACCACAAAAAUAAUAUAAAUAAUUAAUGUGUUUUAUGGGAUGGGCGGCGGCAGGUGGUGUCGGAUGAGGCAAGGGCUAUGUACAACGGUGGAUCAGCUGGACUCACGUAUUGGAGCCCGAAUGUCAACAUAUUUAGGGACCCACGGUGGGGCCGUGGACAGGAGACGCCUGGUGAAGAUCCGGUUCUGGCCGGUACAUAUGCAGCCUAUUACGUGAAGGGAUUACAGGGAAAUGACGGUGAUAGGUUGAAAGUGGCGGCGUGUUGUAAGCACUUCACUGCCUAUGAUCUCGAUAACUGGAAUGGUGUUGAUAGGUUCCACUUUAAUGCUCAGGUCAGUUCACUUUUUGGUAAAAUCUGAUAAAAGGUCCCUCUUGCAAAACUAUAAGGGCAAGGAUUAAAGUGAUCCAUUUAAUUGAUAAGAUUCUUACAAUAUAAGGAUCUGUGAAGCAAUUUUACUGUUAAGCUUUUUUACUAGGAUAUGUACUUUAUUAGUUUUCUAACUUUCAUAUGAUAUUGAUGGGUGUAGUGCAAUUAUGGGACUGGGGGUAUGGAUAUUGUAAAUAGUGACCAUUAAUUUUUAGUGAUAAGAUCACCUUGGAAAUUGUAGCCGUAGUUUUGAAGAUGUAGGUGAAUGGGGCCAAACUUGGGAUUUUACCAGCUGGAAUAAUCAAUUUUCUCCUCAACCACCUUGUUUCAUUUUUGUUUUAUUUAUUUAUUUUAAUUUAAUUUUUACUAAUAUUGUUAAAUUUUAAAUUGAAACGGGAUGAAACGGAAAUGAAUGUAUCUAAUACCUACGGAGAUGAUGAUGAUUUUCAAUAUUAUAAUUCAUUAAUAAAACGAAAUAAAUGGUGGAGUAAAACGUAGCAUUUAUAACGCAAUAAGAUCAUGAAUUUAAAUAAAGAAAGCUGAAAUAUGGACCACAAAGGAUGGCAUAUUCUCGACUGUCUAAAUUAAAUCUUUGUCUGAUAUCAUUUAAAUAUAUUAAAUCUUUUUAUCCAAAUGCUCUGCUUUUGUCCGGUUCCUUCCAGAAAAAAAUUUCAGACAAUGAAACAAAGGGAAAGAUUUAUAAUAAUAAAAUAAGACAGGCUUGUUCGAUUCUCACGUGGGUUCUCACACGUUUAUGCAGGUAAGCAAACAAGACAUAGAGGACACAUUUGAUGUACCCUUCAAAAUGUGUGUACAAGAUGGCAAUGUAGCCAGUGUUAUGUGCUCUUACAAUGAAGUUAAUGGUGUCCCUACCUGUGCCGAUCCUAAUCUCCUGCGAAACACGGUACGAGGUCAAUGGAAACUCGAUGGGUAAGUCAACCAUUUUAAGACAGAUCAGUUUAAUGAUCCCUGUUUUUCAUGUUGGUCUGGUUUUUACAGGUACAUUGUUUCAGACUGUGAUUCAGUUGGUGUGUUUUAUAAUACCCAACAUUACACAACAACACCGGAACAAGCAGCUGCUGAUGCCAUUAAAGCUGGUUUGGAUUUGGAUUGUGGACCAUUUUUGGCACAACAUAGUGAAGAUGCUGUGAAGCAAGGGUUGUUGAAUGAGGUUGAUAUUAAUAAUGCUUUAGUUAACACCCUUAGAGUUCAAAUGAGACUCGGUAUGUUCGACGGUGAGCCGUCUGUGCAACCGUUUGGGAAGUUAGGACCGAAAGACGUGUGCACUCCUUCGAACCAAGAGCUAGCGUUGGAAGCUGCGAGACAGGGGAUUGUUUUGCUUAAAAACAGCGGUGUUUCGUUGCCUUUGUCUCAUCGACGUCACCGAACGGUUGCCGUUAUCGGGCCUAAUUCCGAUGCUACUGUUAGCAUGAUUGGAAACUAUGCGGGUACACCAUUAUGAUAAUGAUUUUGUUUCCUUUUGUUGUUAAUGGGAUAUGGACAAUUGAACUUAUGUAUUAAUGUUUAAUGAUUAGGUGUUGCUUGUGGAUACACUUCUCCUUUGC